AGAAGAACAGCGUACAGACAACCGUCCCUCUCCCUCGAUUCAGCCGAAUCCACGAGCCCCUUUCCCACUGUUACACUUUACACACCGGCGCGGCGGCCGGGAUCCCAUCUCACGCCCCUCCGGCAGGACCACCACCCGGGCUUCCCUCUGCAAUUUAGCCGAACCCAUUCACCCCCUUUUCCCCUGUGUACAGCCCGGCGCGGCGGCCGGGAUCCCAUCUCACGGCCCUCCGGCGGUACCACCGGCUCGGCUCCCCUCUGCUGUUCCCCGGGGACCGCUAGGGCUAUGAUCCCCUUCUACGUGUGGUGCCAUGGUCUGGAGCUAUUUCCGUGGUGCCAAAUCCAGACCGCGCACCUAUUUUAGCCACCGCUGCCCCCACGGGUCAGCGUUCUCUCAUCAUGAUCUCCCCCGGGUCACUGCGGAAGAUUAUAAUUGUUUCUAAUCCCGCUCUCUAUAUACUCCCAAGGUUUCCUGACGAUGUGUGGUAAGACGUCUUUUAUCAAGCCAUUUUGGAAUUCUUAAGAAGG
Long non-coding RNA from Triticum aestivum (bread wheat), 527 nucleotides. RefSeq lists it as uncharacterized. The record is from RefSeq and is a predicted model, not a curated record. The transcript is spliced from 3 exons. NCBI's taxonomy places the organism in Eukaryota, Viridiplantae, Streptophyta, Magnoliopsida, Poales, Poaceae.